AUUGAACGCUGGCGGAAUGCUUUACACAUGCAAGUCGAACGGCAGCACGGAGAGCUUGCUCUCUGGUGGCGAGUGGCGAACGGGUGAGUAAUAUAUCGGAACGUGUCCAAUAAUGGGGGAUAACGAGUCGAAAGAUUCGCUAAUACCGCAUACGCCCUACGGGGGAAAGCAGGGGAUCGUAAGACCUUGCGUUAAUGGAGCGGCCGAUAUCUGAUUAGCUUGUUGGUGAGGUAAAGGCUCACCAAGGCGACGAUCAGUAGCUGGUUUGAGAGAACGACCAGCCACACUGGAACUGAGACACGGUCCAGACUCCUACGGGAGGCAGCAGUGGGGAAUUUUGGACAAUGGGGGCAACCCUGAUCCAGCCAUUCCGCGUGAGUGAAGAAGGCCUUCGGGUUGUAAAGCUCUUUCGCAAGGGAAGAAAACUUAUGAUCGAAUAAAUCAUGAGGUUGACGGUACCUUGAUAAGAAGCACCGGCUAACUACGUGCCAGCAGCCGCGGUAAUACGUAGGGUGCGAGCGUUAAUCGGAAUUACUGGGCGUAAAGCGUGCGCAGGCGGUUUUGUAAGUCGGAUGUGAAAUCCCCGGGCUCAACCUGGGAACUGCGUUCGAAACUGCAAGGCUAGAGUGUGUCAGAGGGGGGUAGAAUUCCACGUGUAGCAGUGAAAUGCGUAGAGAUGUGGAGGAAUACCAAUGGCGAAGGCAGCCCCCUGGGAUAACAC
Molecule: ribosomal RNA, 721 nt
Filed under: uncultured bacterium
Lineage: Bacteria
Description: bacterial SSU rRNA
Rfam family: Bacterial small subunit ribosomal RNA
Source: RNAcentral